GUGGGGAAUAUUGGACAAUGGGCGAAAGCCUGAUCCAGCCAUGCCGCGUGUGUGAAGAAGGUCUUCGGAUUGUAAAGCACUUUAAGUUGGGAGGAAGGGUAGUAACCUAAUACGUUGCUACUUUGACGUUACCGACAGAAUAAGCACCGGCUAACUUCGUGCCAGCAGCCGCGGUAAUACGAAGGGUGCAAGCGUUAAUCGGAAUUACUGGGCGUAAAGCGCGCGUAGGUGGUUUUGUAAGUUGUAGGUGAAAUCCCCGGGCUCAACCUGGGAACUGCCUCCAAAACUGCAUGACUAGAGUACGGUAGAGGGUAGUGGAAUUUCCUGUGUAGCAGUGAAAUGCGUAGAUAUAGGAAGGAACACCAGUGGCGAAGGCGACUACCUGGACUGAUACUGACACUGAGGUGCGAAAGCGUGGGGAGCAAACAGGAUUAGAAACCCUUGUAGUCC
This 450-nucleotide ribosomal RNA is filed under the name uncultured bacterium. RNAcentral describes it as "partial 16S ribosomal RNA". It matches the Rfam family "Bacterial small subunit ribosomal RNA", at positions 354 to 796 of the family's 1533-position model. The record is from RNAcentral.